RNAcentral lists this long non-coding RNA (695 nucleotides) under Ricinus communis (castor bean). RNAcentral describes it as "long non-coding RNA (RCOM_LNC002068)". The record is from RNAcentral. Lineage: Eukaryota; Viridiplantae; Streptophyta; Magnoliopsida; Malpighiales; Euphorbiaceae.
CACUUCCAUAUUCAAUUUCACUGCCCUGUUACACUACCACCACCCUCAACACUACCAAGCAACAGUAAUAACAGCACCACUCUAACGAUAAUGAUUUCAUCAACAAUAGAACUCGUUACUAGCAAAAUCACAUAGUAUUACAAAUUGAUAAGAGAAAAAAUAAAAAAACUCCACCGUUGCAACUGCUACCAUUGAAGCCAAUCUGUGUUUACCACCAUCUUUAAUUAUUUUCCAAAACAAAUAGAAAAAAAAAAGGACCACAAAAAUAAAAAAAUAGUUUGUUACCAUCGUUGUCAUCGUUGCUCAUACAACAUCGUUGUUGCCCUGCAGCUUCAACCACCGCCAUCACUGUCGUCUAUGGUUGUUGUAAAGAUUCUGGCAAUUGUAGAGGUUGGAACUAGUAAUGAACAAUUCAUCUUGAUGGGCAAAAGAUAUGGCAAUCUUGAACGGCUGGAUGUGGGCGAGCUCGAAUGGCUAGAUUUAGGUGAUUUCAAUGUUGUUGCUGCGGCGAUGAGCGAUAGCUGCAGUCUGUGGUGUUGUGAUAUGUAGUAGGAUGGCACCUUUGGUGUUAUGGCUUGGUGUUUGUAGAAUCAUAAUUGGUGCUAUGGGAUUAAGUUUGUUUGGUGGAUGAAAGAAAGAAAGUCUCCAUUGGUCUUUUCUUUUUUUGGAUUAAAUUUUUUUGAUUAAUUUUUUUU